ACCCCGGUGAAAAUGCCCUUCAAAUCACUUAAUUGAUUCAAAGGAGUGGGCAUCAAGCACACCUACACAACGGUAGCUCACAACGCCUUGCCUAGCCACACCCCCACGGGAUACAGCAGUGAUAAAAAUUAAGCAAUAAACGAAAGUUUGACUAAGCCAUACUAAGCCAGGGCUGGUAAAUUUCGUGCCAGCCACCGCGGUCAUACGAUUAGCCCAAGUUAAUAGACACACGGCGUAAAACGUGUAUAAGAACUCCAAACCAAUAAAGUUAAAUCAGAAUUUUGCCGUAGAAAGCCCAAACUCUGACUAAAAUAAACUACGAAAGUGACUUUAACUUAUCCGACUACACGAUAGCUAAGACACAAACUGGGAUUAGAUACCCCACUAUGCUUAGCCCUAAACUAAAGUGACAACAUAACAAUGCCACUCGCCAGAGAACUACUAGCCACAGCUUAAAACUCAAAGGACUUGGCGGUGCUUUAUAUCCACCUAGAGGAGCCUGUUCUAUAAUCGAUAAACCCCGAUAAACCUCACCAACCCUUGCUAAUACAGCCUAUAUACCGCCAUCUUCAGCAAACCCCAAAAGGGGAUCACAGUAAGCAAAAACAUAAAACAUAAAAACGUUAGGUCAAGGUGUAGCCUAUGAGUUGGAAAGAAAUGGGCUACAUUUUCUAAUAAUAGAAUAUAAACGAAAAUUUUCGUGAAACCGAAAAUAGAAGGAGGAUUUAGCAGUAAAUUAAGAAUAGAGAGCUUAAUUGAAUUAGGCCAUGAAGCACGCACACACCGCCCGUCACCCUCCUCAAGUGCCAUAAUAUAAUAAUUAACCAUAUAAACAAUCGUAUUAACACGCGAGAGGAGACAAGUCGUAACAAGGUAAGCGUACUGGAAGGUGCGCUUGGACACAU
This 905-nucleotide non-coding RNA is filed under the name Macroglossus sobrinus. Its description in RNAcentral is "partial 12S ribosomal RNA". It matches the Rfam family "Bacterial small subunit ribosomal RNA", at positions 267 to 1533 of the family's 1533-position model. The record is from RNAcentral. Lineage: Eukaryota; Metazoa; Chordata; Mammalia; Chiroptera; Pteropodidae.